GUCUACAGCCAUGCUGCCCUGAACAAGCCCGAUCCUGUCUGACCUCGGAAGCUAAGCGAGAUUGAGCCUGGUUUAGUACUUGGAUGGGAGACCACCUAGGAAGACCAAGUGCUGUAGGCA
RNAcentral lists this ribosomal RNA (120 nucleotides) under Pteropus alecto (black flying fox). The record is from RNAcentral. Lineage: Eukaryota; Metazoa; Chordata; Mammalia; Chiroptera; Pteropodidae.